RNAcentral lists this ribosomal RNA (505 nucleotides) under uncultured bacterium. RNAcentral describes it as "bacterial SSU rRNA". It matches the Rfam family "Bacterial small subunit ribosomal RNA", at positions 346 to 842 of the family's 1533-position model. The record is from RNAcentral.
AGGCAGCAGUGAGGAAUAUUGCGCAAUGGGGNNNACCCUGACGCAGCGACGCCGCGUGAGUGAGGAAGGCUUUCGGGUCGUAAAGCUCUGUCAAAAGGGAAGAAAUGCAUAAUAAUUAAUACUUAUUAUGUUUGACGGUACCUUUAAAGGAAGCACCGGCUAACUCCGUGCCAGCAGCCGCGGUAAUACGGAGGGUGCAAGCGUUGUUCGGAAUUACUGGGCGUAAAGGGCGCGCAGGCGGCUUGAUAAGUCAGAUGUGAAAGCCCACGGCUUAACCGUGGAAGUGCAUUUAAAACUGUCAAGCUUGAGUAUCAGAGGGGAAAGUGGAAUUCCUGGUGUAGAGGUGAAAUUCGUAGAUAUCAGGAGGAAUACCAGUGGCGAAGGCGACUUUCUGGCUGAAUACUGACGCUGAGGCGCGAAAGCGUGGGGAGCAAACAGGAUUAGAUACCCUGGUAGUCCACGCCGUAAACGAUGUCAACUAGGUGUAGGGGGUCUUGAUCCCUUC